Molecule: ribosomal RNA, 258 nt
Filed under: uncultured bacterium
Lineage: Bacteria
Description: partial 16S ribosomal RNA
Rfam family: Bacterial small subunit ribosomal RNA
Source: RNAcentral
CGGCGGACGGGUGAGUAACGCGUGGGUAACCUGCCUCAUACAGGGGGAUAACAGUUAGAAAUGACUGCUAAUACCGCAUAAGCGCACAGGACCGCAUGGUCAAGUGUGAAAAACUCCGGUGGUAUGAGAUGGACCCGCGUCUGAUUAGCUGGUUGGUGAGGUAACGGCCCACCAAGGCGACGAUCAGUAGCCGACCUGAGAGGGUGGCCGGCCACAUUGGGACUGAGACACGGCCCAAACUCCUACGGAAGGCAGCAG